GGUGAUGGAUCGGGCUGGUGCCCAAUUUUCGCCGUUUGUUGGCCCAUUUGCCGGUAAUCCUCAAAUUGACUCGCAAGCCAGUAAGUCGGUCGGACCGGUGGGGCUGCAAAGCGGCUUCAGUUCCUCAGCAAUGCCCCCCCGCCCCAUGCCCGUACCUCGGGGGAAGUUUGUGAGGCAGCUAUCUUUUUCCUGACCGGCGGUUGACUCAAGUCGUAACGAGGUAACCGUAAACCCAGGCAACGAUCCAUACCUGGUUUGAGAGGAUGAUCAACCACACUGGAACUGACACACGGUCCAUACUCCUACCGGAGGCAGGAAUGGGGAAUAUUGAACAAUGGGCGAAAGCCUGAUCCAUCCAUGCCUGGUGUGUGAAGAAGGACUUCCGAUUGUAAAGCACUUUAUUUUGGGAGGAAGGAAGGUAAGUUAAUACCUUGCUGUUUUGACUGUCCCGACCGAAUAAACACCGGCUAACUCUGUGC
RNAcentral lists this ribosomal RNA (479 nucleotides) under Pseudomonas sp. HPC 600. RNAcentral's name for it is "partial 16S ribosomal RNA". It matches the Rfam family "Bacterial small subunit ribosomal RNA", at positions 1 to 508 of the family's 1533-position model. The record is from RNAcentral. Lineage: Bacteria; Pseudomonadati; Pseudomonadota; Gammaproteobacteria; Pseudomonadales; Pseudomonadaceae.